RNAcentral lists this ribosomal RNA (1390 nucleotides) under uncultured bacterium. Its description in RNAcentral is "partial 16S ribosomal RNA". It matches the Rfam family "Bacterial small subunit ribosomal RNA". The record is from RNAcentral.
AGAGUUUGAUCCUGGCUCAGGAUGAACGCUAGCUACAGGCCUAACACAUGCAAGUCGAGGGGCAUCGGGCGUCGGACUUGUCCGACGUGCCGGCGACCGGCGAAUGGGUGAGUAACGCGUAUCCAACCUGCCCGCCAGCCAGGGACAGCCUCCCGAAAGGGAGAUUAAUACCUGACGUUGUGACGAUAGGGCAUCCUGUUGUCACGGAAGAUUUAUCGUUGGUGGAUGGGGAUGCGUCCGAUUAGCUAGUUGGUACGGUAACGGCGUACCAAGGCUACGAUCGGUAGGGGUUCUGAGAGGAAGGUCCCCCACAUUGGAACUGAGACACGGUCCAAACUCCUACGGGAGGCAGCAGUGAGGAAUAUUGGUCAAUGGGCGGAAGCCUGAACCAGCCAAGUAGCGUGAGGGAAGACUGCCCUAUGGGUUGUAAACCUCUUUUGUUUGGGAGCAAAGUGCGCCACGUGUGGUGUAUUGCGAGUACCAUUCGAAUAUGCAUCGGCUAAUUCCGUGCCAGCAGCCGCGGUAAUACGGAAGAUGCGAGCGUUAUCCGGAUUUAUUGGGUUUAAAGGGAGCGUAGGCGGAGCGUCAAGUCAGCUGUGAAAUGUCGCGGCUCAACCGUGGAGCUGCAGUUGAAACUGGCGUUCUUGAGUAUACAUAAGGAUGGUGGAAUUCGUGGUGUAGCGGUGAAAUGCUUAGAUAUCACGAAGAACUCCGAUUGCGAAGGCAGCCAUCUGGGGUAUUACUGACGCUGAGGCUCGAAAGUGCGGGUAUCAAACAGGAUUAGAUACCCUAGUAGUCCACGCCCUAAACGAUGAGUACUAGAUGUUGGAAUUUUCAGUGUCACAGCUAACGCAAUAAGUACUCCGCCUGAGGAGUAUGCACGCAAGUGUAAAACUUAAAGGAAUUGACGGGGCCCCGCACAAGCGGUGGAGUAUGUGGUUUAAUUCGACGCAACGCGAAGAACCUUACCAGGCCUUGACAUCCCCUGCAAAACUAUAGAGAUAUAGCAGAGGUUAUCAGGGUGACAGGUGGUGCAUGGUUGUCGUCAGCUCGUGUCGUGAGAUGUUGGGUUAAGUCCCGCAACGAGCGCAACCCUUGUCUUUAGUUACCAUCAUUAAGUUGGGGACUCUAGAGAGACUGCCGGUGACAAACCGGAGGAAGGUGGGGAUGACGUCAAAUCAUCAUGCCCUUUAUGGCCUGGGCUACACACGUACUACAAUGGCGUAUACAGCAAGAUGCAAUACCGUAAGGUGGAGCAAAACUUAUAAAAUACGUCUCAGUUCGGAUUGAGGUCUGCAACUCGACCUCAUGAAGUUGGAAUCGCUAGUAAUCGCGAAUCAGCAUGUCGCGGUGAAUACGUUCUCGGGGCUUGUACUCACCGCCCGUCAAG